Molecule: non-coding RNA, 97 nt
Organism: Arachis ipaensis
Lineage: Eukaryota; Viridiplantae; Streptophyta; Magnoliopsida; Fabales; Fabaceae
Source: RefSeq, a predicted model, not a curated record
GAGGAGCCUGCCGCAGAUGAGGCCAUUACCGCUCGCCUUUAGGCGUCCUCCUCGUGAUAGCGUCAUUUAAAGAACGAGGGUCAGCACGUCGUAAAAA